This 27-nucleotide unclassified non-coding RNA is filed under the name Mus musculus (house mouse). RNAcentral describes it as "oocyte_clustered_small_RNA2613". The record is from RNAcentral. Lineage: Eukaryota; Metazoa; Chordata; Mammalia; Rodentia; Muridae.
ACCAGGGUCCCCAGAGUGACACCCUCG